AGGUCAGCCUGCCCAGUGACAAUUUUAACGGCCGCGGUAUCCUAACCGUGCAAAGGUAGCGUAAUCACUUGUUUCUUAAUUAGAGACCUGUAUGAAUGGCAUCACGAGAGUCACACUGUCUCCUUUUUCAAGUCAGUGAAACUAAUCUUUCUGUGAAAAAGCAGAAAUUUUUAAACAAGACGAGAAGACCCUUUGGAGCUUAAGACCAAUAAAAUUUUAUGCUCUUACUUAACAUACACCUUGCAAUACCAAAUUUUAACAGUCUUUAGUUGGGGCAACUACGGAGUCAAAAUGACCCUCCAAGAUGAAACGGAAUUUUCCUAAACUAAAAGCCACAGCCUUCAGGAUGAUUAAAAUGACAUUAUUAGACCC
RNAcentral lists this ribosomal RNA (372 nucleotides) under Eleutherodactylus syristes. RNAcentral describes it as "partial large subunit ribosomal RNA". It matches the Rfam family "Bacterial large subunit ribosomal RNA", at positions 1851 to 2421 of the family's 2925-position model. Lineage: Eukaryota; Metazoa; Chordata; Amphibia; Anura; Eleutherodactylidae. The record is from RNAcentral.